RNAcentral lists this ribosomal RNA (501 nucleotides) under uncultured bacterium. RNAcentral describes it as "partial 16S ribosomal RNA". It matches the Rfam family "Bacterial small subunit ribosomal RNA", at positions 30 to 523 of the family's 1533-position model. The record is from RNAcentral.
AUUGAACGCUGGCGGCAGGCUUAACACAUGCAAGUCGAGCGGGGGAAGGUAGCUUGCUACCGGACCUAGCGGCGGACGGGUGAGUAAUGCUUAGGAAUCUGCCUAUUAGUGGGGGACAACAUCUCGAAAGGGAUGCUAAUACCGCAUACGUCCUACGGGAGAAAGCAGGGGAUCUUCGGACCUUGCGCUAAUAGAUGAGCCUAAGUCGGAUUAGCUAGUUGGUGGGGUAAAGGCCUACCAAGGCGACGAUCUGUAGCGGGUCUGAGAGGAUGAUCCGCCACACGGGGAGUGAGAGACGGCCCAGGCUCCUACGGGAGGCAGCAGUGGGGAAUAUUGGACAAUGGGGGGAACCCUGAUCCAGCCAUGCCGCGUGUGUGAAGAAGGCCUUAUGGUUGUAAAGCACUUUAAGCGAGGAGGAGGCUACUUUAGUUAAUACCUAGAGAUAGUGGACGUUACUCGCAGAAUAAGCACCGGCUAACUCUGUGCCAGCCGCCGCGGUAA